GCGCGCAACCCUUACUUCGUACGAUGAGUAGUAAUACUUAAAUGGAUAUUCGUGUAUCGUGUUGUAAAUUCGUUAUAUCGCGUUAUGUUUACUGGAAUUUAGUGUUAUUCGACAGGUUUUAGUCGCUAAAUAUUUAUCGCGUGUGUUAUCUUUGGAAUUCAAUGUUUUGUGUGUUUACUACAGUUUCGCUUGUAUCUGGGAUCGCUUGCAUUUUGUCUUCAGCAGAUCAGGACGGGCGGCUGUUCUACCUGAAUCUACUCCCAUUGCAUUUACGGUGUUCGAUACACUGUAUCCUAGCUGUGUCCUAGUACUCCAAUGAGCACUGCAUUGGUAAGGUUUUAUUAAGUUAUAUUAUUCGGUCAAAUGUUUUAUGACCUGCGUGUUGCAAUAGCUCGCGAUUUAGGGGGGCCUUGUUAAUUAUAAUUGCGGGUAGUAUAGAAAACGAAGAAAACGACAAAGUUUGCUCGUUUUUCGCGUUUUUCAAAACACACGGUGGAAAACAAGCCAUAUCUCGGAAUCACUUCGUAAUAAUUCAGUUUUUUUCUCUAUUUUAUGAUGGUACAAGACUGCACUUUUAAAAUGCACCCCUAAAGUUCUGCGAAAUUCGGUCGUGACUGCCUCAAAAUGGCCGCUAAAUUUAGGUCUUCUAUUGCAAUUUUCAAAACACGCGGUGGAAAACAAGCCAUAUCUCGGGAACCCUUCGUGAUUAAUCAGUUUUUUUUCUUUAUUUUAUGAUGGUACAAAAGUGCAUUUUUAAAAUACACCCCUUAAGCUCUGCGAAAUUUGGUCGUGACUGCCUCAAAAUGGCCGCUAAAUUUCGACCUCUUCUUGCAUUUUUCAAAACACGCGGUGGAUUACAGGCCAUAAAUCGGGAACCCUUUGUCGAAUUUUAGCUUUUUAUUUAUUUUAUGAUAGGGCAAGAGUUCAUUUUUAAAAUGCACCCCCGAAGCUUUGCGAAAUUCAGUCGUAACAUGCUCAAAAUGGCCGCCAAAGUUAUGCCUCUUUUUGCAAUUUUUAAAACACGCGAUGGAAAACAGGCGAUAUCUCGGGAACCCUUUGUCAUAUUUUAGCUUUUUAUUUAUUUUAUGAUACAGCAAGAGUGCAUUUUUAAAAUGUACCCCUGAAACUCGGCGAAAUUCGGUCGUAGCGGCCACAAAAUGGCCACCAAAGUUAGGCCUCUUCGUGCAAUUUUUAAAACACGCGGUGGAAAAUAGGCCAUAUCUCGGGAACCCUUUGUCAUAUUUUAGUUUUUUAUUUAUUUUAUGAUACGGCAAGAAUGCAUUUUUCUACUUAAAUCUUAAUUUUUUUGUGUAUCACCCAGUACAUAUAUAUAUAUUUUCCUUAUCAUUUAAUAGAACAUUUGUCUUAGUGUUUGGGCAUUUUAUUUUUGAGACAUAGGGUUUUCUUUUUGUAACACCCUGUAAAAUAUUUUCCCGUGGUGAAUUUGUCAAAAGGGGUAAGUUGUAUGUUAUCCAAUUUACACUUAGGAUUUUCCUUUGAAAUAUUGUCGUUUUCUUCUUAUAUCUCCCUGUAUAUUAAUUUCCUUCGAUGUUUUACUGUGGUUUUAAAGAUAUAUUUCCCUACUUGAACGUUUCAUUUUCUUUUAAAAUUUUACGAUACAGUUUCUUGGGACACCCUAUAUAAUAGUUUUCAAUGAUUGCCGCGAAAAUUAUGCAAAAUUUGUUAGUAUUAUAUAUAUAUAUAUAUAUUCAAAAUGGCGGGUUAUAUAUUGCUUAAUAUUAUAUAUUCUAGGUUUUCAUUGUAUACAUAUUUCAAUAAAGAAAUGUUAAAAGUGACUGGGCCUCCUAUGAUUUGUUUCCAUCACAUCCCUGAAAAUUAUGCUUUGACUCUUAUUAGAAUUUAACUUCUGGCAUUUCGAAUUUUCUUUUGGUAGCACCCUGUAUUUCGUUUCCCAUACGUCGGGUGAAAAACGAGCGAUAUUUGUAGUGUUUGAAUGUUUUUCUCUUUGCACUUUAAAUUUUCCUUUUGUAAUACCCUGUAUAUUUGUAUAUAUUUUAAUGACGUAGAAAUUGAGCUAUUCACUAAUUUAUU
Dalotia coriaria is the source of this 2052-nucleotide long non-coding RNA. RefSeq lists it as uncharacterized. The record is from RefSeq and is a predicted model, not a curated record. Lineage: Eukaryota; Metazoa; Arthropoda; Insecta; Coleoptera; Staphylinidae. The transcript has 3 exons.